GACUAAACUGUCUCUUACGGAUAUUCAAUGAAAUUGAUCUUUCAGUCCAAAAGCUGAGAUACCUACACCAGACGAGAAGACCCUGUGGAGCUUCCUAAACCAAUAUCAACCCCUAUGAUUAUGCGGUUUUUAGUUGGGGCGACUUCGGAGAACAAAAAAACCUCCAACUUGGAAAUUUUCCUAAUUAAGAUCUACACAUCUAAAUAUACAACUUGACCCAGUAGGCAUUAUCCCUAUCUGACCAAGGAACCAAGUUACCCCAGGGAUAACAGCGCUAUCCUCUUUUAGAGUCCCUAUCGACAAGAGGGCUUACGACCUCGAUGU
This 324-nucleotide ribosomal RNA is filed under the name Ophisops elegans (snake-eyed lizard). RNAcentral describes it as "partial 16S ribosomal RNA". It matches the Rfam family "Bacterial large subunit ribosomal RNA", at positions 2009 to 2532 of the family's 2925-position model. Lineage: Eukaryota; Metazoa; Chordata; Lepidosauria; Squamata; Lacertidae. The record is from RNAcentral.